UAACAAGGUCUCCGUUGGUGAACCAGCGGAGGGAUCAUUACCGAGUUUACAACUCCCAAACCCCUGUGAACAUACCACUUGUUGCCUCGGCGGAUCAGCCCGCUCCCGGUAAAACGGGACGGCCCGCCAGAGGACCCCUAAACUCUGUUUCUAUAUGUAACUUCUGAGUAAAACCAUAAAUAAAUCAAAACUUUCAACAACGGAUCUCUUGGUUCUGGCAUCGAUGAAGAACGCAGCAAAAUGCGAUAAGUAAUGUGAAUUGCAGAAUUCAGUGAAUCAUCGAAUCUUUGAACGCACAUUGCGCCCGCCAGUAUUCUGGCGGGCAUGCCUGUUCGAGCGUCAUUUCAACCCUCAAGCACAGCUUGGUGUUGGGACUCGCGUUAAUUCGCGUUCCUCAAAUUGAUUGGCGGUCACGUCGAGCUUCCAUAGCGUAGUAGUAAAACCCUCGUUACUGGUAAUCGUCGCGGCCACGCCGUUAAACCCCAACUUCUGAAUGUUGACCUCGGAUCAGGUAGGAAUACCCGCUGAACUUAAGCAUA
RNAcentral lists this ribosomal RNA (539 nucleotides) under Fusarium oxysporum. RNAcentral describes it as "eukaryotic LSU rRNA". The stretch from base 189 to 342 matches the Rfam family "5.8S ribosomal RNA". Lineage: Eukaryota; Fungi; Ascomycota; Sordariomycetes; Hypocreales; Nectriaceae. RNAcentral also lists the same sequence under 1 other name. The record is from RNAcentral.